RNAcentral lists this ribosomal RNA (816 nucleotides) under Paracylindrocarpon pandanicola. RNAcentral's name for it is "partial 28S large subunit ribosomal RNA". It matches the Rfam family "Eukaryotic large subunit ribosomal RNA", at positions 88 to 940 of the family's 3401-position model. Lineage: Eukaryota; Fungi; Ascomycota; Sordariomycetes; Hypocreales; Bionectriaceae. The record is from RNAcentral.
GGCGAGUGAAGCGGCAACAGCUCAAAUUUGAAAUCUGGCCUCUGGCCCGAGUUGUAAUUUGCAGAGGAUGUUUCUGGCGAGGUGCCUUCCGAGUUCCCUGGAACGGGACGCCAUAGAGGGUGAGAGCCCCGUACGGUUGGUCGCUAAGCCUCUGUGAAACUCCUUCGACGAGUCGAGUAGUUUGGGAAUGCUGCUCUAAAUGGGAGGUAUACGUCUUCUAAAGCUAAAUACCGGCUAGAGACCGAUAGCGCACAAGUAGAGUGAUCGAAAGAUGAAAAGCACUUUGAAAAGAGGGUUAAAUAGUACGUGAAAUUGUUGAAAGGGAAGCGCUUAUGACCAGACUUGGACCGGUUGAUCAUCCAUCGUUCUCGGUGGUGCACUCUGCCGGUUCAGGCCAGCAUCAGUUUGGCCCGGGGGAUAAAGGCUUCGGGAAUGUGGCUCCCCACGGGGAGUGUUAUAGCCCGUUGCGUAAUACCCUGGGCUGGACUGAGGUUCGCGCUCCGCAAGGAUGCUGGCGUAAUGGUCAUCAGUGACCCGUCUUGAAACACGGACCAAGGAGUCGUCUUCGUAUGCGAGUGUUCGGGUGUCAAACCCCUACGCGUAAUGAAAGUGAACGUAGGAGAGAGCUUCGGCGCAUCUCCGACCGAUCCUGAUGUUCUCGGAUGGAUUUGAGUAAGAGCAUACGGGGCCGGACCCGAAAGAAGGUGAACUAUGCCUGUAUAGGGUGAAGCCAGAGGAAACUCUGGUGGAGGCUCGCAGCGGUUCUGACGUGCAAAUCGAUCGUCAAAUAUGGGCAUGGGGGCGAAGACAAUCGAC